AACAAAUCUGUCAAAUAGGCGACGUCUGCUUUAAAAUUGAUUAGGUUUUUUUUUAAAUCAGGAUCUUUGCUGUCCAGAAAUUCUAAAACUGAAUUGAAAAGUGAAUAAAAUCUUGAUAAGCAUGCACCUUUCGACAACCAGCGUACUUCGGUAUGUAACAGCAAUCGUUGGAAAUCUUCAUCAUUUUCAUCGCACAAUUGUGUGAAUAAGCGCGAAUUUAAUGCAUUGCUUCUAAUUUUGUUAACUGCAUUAAUCACAAAUUAAAGCGAUUGGUGCAAUCUGUCACUUAAAUUUUUCGCUACUAGAUGUUGUCGGUGGAUAACACAAUGAAUUGUAGUUACCUCUUGUAUAAUUCUUUUAAGAUGGCUUAUAAACCCACGAUAUCGCCCGACCAUGGCAGGAGCUCCAUCUGUUGCCACCGAAAUAACGUUUGUGAAUGGAAUCGAUGUUUCUUUAAAAAAAUCACUGAGAACAGCAAAUAUUGAUUCACCUUUAGUGUCCGUCUUCAAAGUUCUUGCAAAUAGUAACUCUUCAUGGAUUUCUUCGCCCAUAACAAAUCGAACAUAUGCCAAUAAUAAUGCUUCGUUGCCAGGUAAAGUUGACUCGUCCAGUUGAAUAGAAAAAUGAGUUGUUUGCAGAUAAUCACACAAGAAACUUUCAACAUCAGAGCUCAUUUCAUCAAUACGUCUUUGUACAGUGUUGUUACUCAAGGGAAUUUUUUUUGAGUAUGUCUAAUGAAGAUUUGUGCAGAACAGUUUUUAAGACCUCUUCAACAGCAGGUAAAAUUAACUGUUCUCCAAUGGUGUGCGGUUUUCCAGAUUUUGCUAUGAGUAAUGAGAUAUUGUAAGAUGCCCGCAAGCCAUCAUCAUUGCUUUCAGACGUUGAAGCAAACAUACUGUGCACGGUGCUCUUCCAGCUUUGAUGGUUUCAUGGAGUCAUUGCCCAAAACUUUGUUGCAUAAAAUGCAUGUGGGCAACCGUUUGUCUGCCUGUGAUGGAAGAAAACCAAAUUUUAAAUAUUCAACACUAUACUGACGACACUUCUUCUUAGAUUCGGUCAUGUUUCGUAUCAAUUACCAAUCUGCAAUGUAAACAAUAAAUAAAAAACCGAACAAUCAAA
This is a long non-coding RNA of Drosophila ananassae, 1119 nucleotides long. RefSeq lists it as uncharacterized. The record is from RefSeq and is a predicted model, not a curated record. The transcript is spliced from 2 exons. Lineage: Eukaryota; Metazoa; Arthropoda; Insecta; Diptera; Drosophilidae.